GGCGUGGGGGGUGCCUGAUAUCUCCGCUCUAUUUUACAGUUACUCCCCUGCUGGUGCCUCCCUCCUUGGCGCGCUUCCCACCUGCGAUCGGCGCCCUCUUCGCAGUCACGAACUCGCCAGCAGCUAGCAGCACUGACUAGUAGGAGGGCCCGCCGGAGGAGAGGAAGCCCCAGAGAGAUUGGUGAGGGUGAUUUCCCAGGAAGACGCAGUGUGCUCUGACUUCUGUGACAGUGAGCAACGGGACCAGUGGAUGUCCAGAUGCUGGCAAUGAGACAUGCUCUGGAGUCAGAAGACAGCGAAAAGAGAAGCAGAAGCCCCGGUGGCAAGAGUCUGAAGCUGGAAAGGAGGAGAACAUGAAACAUUGCUUGAAGACAAUGGCCGAGACAGCAGGUCCCACCCUGCACAGCCACCAGCAUCUCUCCCCUCAGCCCUGUCUCCUCUUCUGCAGUUGGGAUCUGCACAUUUAAGCCUGAAAUUGUCCUGUGAAGUGAAGUAUGAUCGGACAGCCUCUUUUCAGCUUUUAUGACAAUGGAGACAGAGGAAUUGUGGCUCUUGCCAAGGUCACAGGAUUGGAAUACAGAGCCAAGCCACCCCAGGACAUGCAAGAGCCUCAGAAGGGAAAAAAGCCCAGCAGGAAGGGAGAACAAGUAGCCUCUGUCCUGAAGUUGUAACAGCCAGGGGCCAGGAUGGAGGAGGAGGACCCCAUAAUCUGCCCAUCUGGGACUUGGCAGGGGACCUGGGAAAAUGUACCCCAACCCAUCCCUUAAGGGCCUUUGUCUUUGGCCCAUUGGCCUAGCAUCUACUUCUUCACCGUGUCUGUUCUUGUCACACCUAGUCAGGUCUGUUUGGGUCUGAGGUGCAUGGAACAUUCUGGGUAGGCCUCCAGCAAACGGAAGCUCUUCACCGUGUUUCCAGCCUGGGACCAAGGGCAGCAUACUGGCAAAGUUGCCAAAGCAAGGGACUCCAGCCUCUUAGGAGUUAAUGACUCCCUCUCCCCAGCUGUCCUCCCCUUGGUGCUCCUCUUCCUCCCUCCUCCUGCUCACAGCAGGCAGGGCCUAGACCCGGGAGCCAUGCUGCUGUGCUGUUGCCAGGGGAGCACGGAGGCAGAUCUGAGCUAUGCAGGGAAAAGGCCCAGCCUGUCAAAGUGUCUGAGAUGAACCGCCGCCGUCCCUGUGCAGCUGGGCUCAGACGUGUCUCAGCUCUUGUUCUGUGCCUGAGAAUGGCGAAACCCAGUGAGGUUCAAGGGCAAACUCGCUAUUCAUUAGUCAGGGGUUCUUGACGUCCCGUCUCUCCCAGGGAUGAGUUCCCCCCUCCUCUUUCUCCCCCUCCUAUGACACAUUCCUGGGUGCCUUUGGUGAGGACUGCACACCCUCCUCCUGCCUAGCCCCCUCUCCAAAGGCCCCUGAAUAAACUCCCCCCAAGGAGACCAGGCAGGGCAGAGACAAUGGCUGCAGGAAAUCAUUCAGGCGGGACAUGCUGGCCUGCCCUCCACCCAGUCCCCCUGUGGGCCCCACUCCCUUCUGAUUCAGGGCACCCUUGGGCCCCCAGCCUAUACAGGCCUGGACAGGAAGAAACCACUGGGAACCACCCUAAGGACAACAUGCUAGUCCAGUGCCAUUCUUCGCUGGCUCUGUGGGUGCCUUUGUGGCCUGUACCGACUGGCUGGCUAAUUUUGUGGUUUCUGUACCAUCACAUGCCUAUUUUAAGACACUCUCCAGCACUGUCGGUUAGGGAGUGUAAAUUUUGCAAUAUUUUCUGAAAUGUGGCAAUAUCAAAAUGUAAAAGGCACACAUACUUGGUCACAAACAAAUGGCACUAUUUACUCUGUGGGCAUAUUUGUAAAAGUUGCCAAAGAAUUAUAUACAAGGAUGUUCAUCAGAGCAUUUCUUUUGAAGAGUAAAGAAAUGGACAUGAACCUGUGGUCCGUUCAUACGGUGGAAUACCUAUGCAGCUGUAAAAAUCAGUGUGGUAGAUCUCCGUAUAUGAGUUGAUGUGGAAGGUUGGCCAGUUCACAUGAUAAGGUGAAUAGAAUAAGUUACAGAACAGGCUGUAGAGUAUGAUCUUAUUUGUAGAUGUUUAAAACUGAGUCAUAAGUAUGCUUAUAUACAGAUCGUUUCUGGAAGUAUGUACUGGAAGUCUACCUCUGGGGAGUGGGGAUGGGGGAGUGCACUCUUCUAUACUGUUAUAUUUUCUUUUCAUGCUCCUAAGGUACUUUUAUUGGAAGAUGUAAAGCGGUUCAAUGUAAUAGGCUUAACUUCUGUCAACUAAGUUGGCGUGGGUGCUUUAAGAGGGUGGUAGUGAUGUUGCUGGAGAAAGUAUCCCACAGUCACUGGUGGCUUCAGCCACGGGCCAUUUUGGGGCCUAAUAAUCACAUAUCAUCAUGGUUGCUAGUGUUAAUCGAAAACCUACUAAGUGCCAGGCUUACUGUCUCUGGGUCUUGCUUACGUGGAUGUCAUUUUUCCAGUUGCACCAAAUCGAAAGAGGUUAAUUGGUUUGUUGGAGUUCCUUUGUAGGUGAAGGGCAGAGCCAGGAGCUUGGCUAGGGACAGGGGAGGUGAGUGGGGGAUGGUGGAUAGGUCUUGGCUCCCAGUUUCCUUCUGGGCAGACAUUGCCCCUCUGCCCUGAGGACCUGCUUGUUUGGGGGAAGAGGCCUUUAGAGGCACCAGGGUCAUGCCAGGUGUUGGACAUGGUGAACUGGGAAGUGCUCCCAUCUGGCCACAGCGCAGAAGUAUCACCGUGCUGGGGGAUGGGGAACAGGGCUGUGAAUGGGCCUAUUUGCAUAAGCAGCAUGUGUCUGGAGAGAAAGACAUCACAGAGCAGAAGAGUGCGGGUGCCCAGGAGUGCACUUGCCACCCCUACUUCAUCCCUGAAAGAGUAAAUGGCCUGGAAGGUGUCUCUGAGAGGUAAUGCCGCACACCACCCUCCCUGGGGGCAGGGUCAGGCUACACCUGCCUUAGGUCGGGGGCUGCAGCAGCCUGAGAGCUCUCAGUAGGGCCUCAGUAGCCUGGGAGGGAGCAGGGGCAGGGGGCAGGGAAAGAGGCGUAAUGGGGCUGUCCAGAGGGGCCUGGGAAACCUGGUCCCUGAGGCCUGGGCACAGCUACAAUCACUUCAAAUUGGCUGUGGGGCCAGUGGACUGGGAAGGAAAAAAGCAAUAAGAGUGACCAAGUGCAGAAGGCUGUCAGGUCCCAGGUCACAUGCCUUAGUGCAGUGACUCCUCAUCAUUUUAUGGGGUGUGGGUGUCGUUGGUACACCCAUUUUACAGAUGAGGACACCGAGGCCCAGAAAAGUUAAGUUACAUGUCCUAAGUCACACAGCUUGUAAGUGCCAGAACUGAGAUCAAAACCAAGUCUCUUUGACUUUAAAGUCUGUACUCUGACCCCAAAGAGAUCCUGUUUGGCCACUUAUAGGAGGUCCCUAAAGCUGCAGACUCCCCUUGCCGGCACCCACAUAUAGAGACAUUAACCCUUCCCCUGCAGGGUCACCUCAAAUAGUCUUUUAGCUGGGCUUCUCCUGCAAUUCCACCUAAUGCCAUCCCCUGGGUUUUGCCCAAACCUGAACUGGGCAGUGGGGUGAGAGGAGGGGUUUACAGGGUUACAGAGCCUCAUACAGAUAGGAGCCCAUGGCUGCUGGUCAUCUGCAUUCCUGCAGGAUUGGCUGUUCCUUGGGGUCCUUGGCAGGAAAAUGAGGAUUGCUCCGAGGCCUGCUCCAGUACUUCCCAGAGGCUGGCCUGGUGUGGGGCUCUGGGAAGGCUGAGGCUGGAGAAGCGUAAGUAGGAGGGCAGAGAUGGCACUCAGGUAGCUUGAAUCACCAGGACCCUUCCAAGCCCCACAGGUUCUGAGGGAGUACUAGGGCCAGCUCUGGGAGAGGUCUCUUCCUAUGCUGUGAACCCCCUGCCUUUCUUGCAGCCUACAACGAAUAAAUUUUCUUUGCAAAGGCUUCCGUGUCUCUGGUCAGUUUUUCUAGGAGGACAUGAGUGAGGAAAGUAGCACUCCGCCACCAGCAAAAACAACUGCUUGUGUCUUGCGGUGUGGUGGGGACACUGGUAUGGGUGCA
This 4052-nucleotide long non-coding RNA is filed under the name Homo sapiens (human). RNAcentral describes it as "HSALNT0224308". Lineage: Eukaryota; Metazoa; Chordata; Mammalia; Primates; Hominidae. The record is from RNAcentral.